RNAcentral lists this ribosomal RNA (462 nucleotides) under uncultured bacterium. Its description in RNAcentral is "partial 16S ribosomal RNA". It matches the Rfam family "Bacterial small subunit ribosomal RNA", at positions 29 to 507 of the family's 1533-position model. The record is from RNAcentral.
AACAAACGCUGGCGGCGUGCCUAAUACAUGCAAGUCGAACGGGGAAAGCUUUCGGGUGAGUACUAGUGGCGCACGGGUGAGGAACGCGUGGAUAAUCUGCCUUAGAGUGGGGGAUAACUAGUCGAAAGAUUAGCUAAUACCGCAUAAGACCACGAGAGCUGCGGCUUUUGAGGUCAAAGGUUUUUCGCUCUAAGAUGAGUCCGCGUAAGAUUAGCUAGUUGGUGAGGUAACGGCUCACCAAGGCGACGAUCUUUAACUGGUCUGAGAGGAUGAUCAGUCACACUGGAACUGAGACACGGUCCAGACUCCUACGGGAGGCAGCAGUAGGGAAUAUUGCACAAUGGAGGAAACUCUGAUGCAGCGACGCCGCGUGAGUGAUGAAGGCCUUCGGGUCGUAAAGCUCUGUCGCAGGGGAAUAACACAAUGAAGGUACCCUGUAAGAAAGAAUCGGCUAACUUCGUG